GGGUCUUACAUAAAUUCAAAUUAAUAGGGCCCUAGUACAAAAUUAGAAAUACAUAACCCCACAUUGGAAACCAGACUUGUCUGAAUGUAGCUGGCAUCCUCUUCAUGGGAAGUCGUGCAAGCUGUGGAAAACCCCUUCUUAAACCCACAGAAAACAGAGAGUGUGCAUUGUUCUGUUGGGGACUGCUUCUUGAAGAAGAAGACAAAAGAACAGAGCCUUCUCUUCUGAAAUUCUAAUGCUCUCUGUGAGUUAAAAGGGGUGGAUUCACAAUAUCCUUUUGAAUCCAAAUUUCUCAACUCUUGUCUUUCUCCCUUACCAAUUAGGGUUUUUUGUAUCACGCGGCCAUGGCAUUGCUACUACAUUCUCUCCAAAUGUGUCUUUUUCUUUCCUUAAGGCCAAGUAGAGAAGUAGGAUUAAAGCUUGCUCCAGAAGUUUUCACGUCUUCAACUGCAAAACCUGGUUGAAUUUACUGUUCCUUUUGUUUUCCUGGAACAUGUGAAAACCCUGAACUCGUAAGUACAUUGUUACUUAAGUAGGGAAUGAAGCCAUCGGUCCGCGAAGCAUAUCAAUCUCUGUAUUAUAUUGACAAUAUCCAUGCUGGGAUUCAUAGAGCAGAACAUUUCUUUUGCAUUUUAAAGCUACUUCAUUUUAUUUUUUUCUGAAUUUUAACCUAUAUAUUCAAAUUCGAUCAAGAAGCAAUGCUCAGUUAGUGUUUCAGUGUGUGAUCACUCCAAAAGGAUAAUUUGAUAUUUACAUUCAGCUUGCUUACUGUC
This is a long non-coding RNA of Lycium ferocissimum, 773 nucleotides long. RefSeq lists it as uncharacterized. The record is from RefSeq and is a predicted model, not a curated record. The transcript has 2 exons. Lineage: Eukaryota; Viridiplantae; Streptophyta; Magnoliopsida; Solanales; Solanaceae.